UAAAUCUUUAUUUCAGUGUAAGUGAAAAGCUGUAAGUUUUUAAUCUCCCUUAGUACACU
This 59-nucleotide transfer RNA is filed under the name Aptostichus simus (California dune trapdoor spider). Its description in RNAcentral is "tRNA-Val". Lineage: Eukaryota; Metazoa; Arthropoda; Arachnida; Araneae; Euctenizidae. The record is from RNAcentral.